GAAAUCGUCUCCAAGAUCCUCGUUGGCUUGGACAUGGAGUACAAUCCGGUCGUGUCUACCCUUGCCGCUCGGGUGGAACCCAUCACCGUCCAGGAGCUGUACAAUCAGCUGCUGAGCUUCGAUG
Triticum urartu is the source of this 124-nucleotide non-coding RNA. The record is from Rfam. Lineage: Eukaryota; Viridiplantae; Streptophyta; Magnoliopsida; Poales; Poaceae.